UAGAAUCCAUGUACUUCACAAAAUCAAUUUGUAAACGAGGGACUAAUGGAAUAUUUGAAGGAAAAACAGCUAGAAUUAUAUCCCUUAGAGUUAUUUGGUGGAGACUCCGAAAAUGUAUUUACACCUGCAGUGGGAGAAGUUUUACAGUUUAGGACCAAUCCCGCCAUGAACAAGGGAACAGCCGUAUUUGUUAGUGGAUACUGGAGAAAAGGAAAAUGUAUAAAUAUCAUCAAUAAUAUGUCAAGAGGAAAAUUGUUUGUAAUAGAAGAUGACAAUACAAAAUACAAAUUUGAACUCAACAGAUACCAGCUUAGACCUUACAAUUGUUAAACAUAUUCUCAGUG
RNAcentral lists this long non-coding RNA (344 nucleotides) under Mytilus galloprovincialis (Mediterranean mussel). The record is from RNAcentral. Lineage: Eukaryota; Metazoa; Mollusca; Bivalvia; Mytilida; Mytilidae.